Molecule: ribosomal RNA, 377 nt
Filed under: uncultured bacterium
Lineage: Bacteria
Description: bacterial SSU rRNA
Rfam family: Bacterial small subunit ribosomal RNA
Source: RNAcentral
AUACGUAGGGGGCAAGCGUUGUCCGGAAUUAUUGGGCGUAAAGCGCGCGCAGGCGGUCUGUUAAGUCUUGUGUUUAAGCCCGGGGCUCAACCCCGGUUCGCAUGGGAAACUGGCUGUACUUGAGUGCAGGAGAGGAAAGCGGAAUUCCACGUGUAGCGGUGAAAUGCGUAGAGAUGUGGAGGAACACCAGUGGCGAAGGCGGCUUUCUGGACUGUAACUGACGCUGAGGCGCGAAAGCGUGGGGAGCAAACAGGAUUAGAUACCCUGGUAGUCCACGCCGUAAACGAUGAGUGCUAGGUGUCGGGGGUUUCGAUACCCGCGGUGCCGAAGUUAACGCAAUAAGCACUCCGCCUGGGGAGUACGCUCGCAAGAGUGAA